Molecule: ribosomal RNA, 991 nt
Filed under: Uzbekistanica rosae-hissaricae
Lineage: Eukaryota; Fungi; Ascomycota; Dothideomycetes; Pleosporales; Melanommataceae
Description: eukaryotic LSU rRNA
Rfam family: Eukaryotic large subunit ribosomal RNA
Source: RNAcentral
AUAUCAAUAAGCGGAGGAAAAGAAACCAACAGGGAUUGCCCCAGUAACGGCGAGUGAAGCGGCAAUAGCUCAAAUUUGAAAUCUGGCCCUUUCAGGGUCCGAGUUGUAAUUUGCAGAGGGCGCUUUGGCGUCGGCAGCAGCCUAAGUUCCUUGGAACAGGUCAUCAUAGAGGGUGAGAAUCCCGUAUGUGGCUGCUUGCCUUCGCCGUGUAAAGCCCCUUCGACGAGUCGAGUUGUUUGGGAAUGCAGCUCUAAAUGGGAGGUAAAUUUCUUCUAAAGCUAAAUAUUGGCCAGAGACCGAUAGCGCACAAGUAGAGUGAUCGAAAGAUGAAAAGCACUUUGGAAAGAGAGUCAAAAAGCACGUGAAAUUGUUGAAAGGGAAGCGCUUGCAGCCAGACGUGCCCGCAGUUGCUCAUCCGGGGUUUUCCCCGGUGCACUCUUCUGCGGGCAGGCCAGCAUCAGUCCGGGCGGUUGGAGAAAGACCUGUGUCAUGUAGCUCUCUUCGGGGAGUGUUAUAGGGCAGGUGGAAUGCGACCAGCCUGGACUGAGGUCCGCGCAUCUGCUAGGAUGCUGGCGUAAUGGCUGUAAGCGGCCCGUCUUGAAACACGGACCAAGGAGUCUAACAUCUAUGCGAGUGUUUGGGUGUCAAGCCCGAGCGCGUAAUGAAAGUGAACGGAGGUGGGAACCCCUCGGGGUGCACCAUCGACCGAUCCUGAUGUCUUCGGAUGGAUUUGAGUAAGAGCAUAGCUGUUGGGACCCGAAAGAUGGUGAACUAUGCCUGAAUAGGGUGAAGCCAGAGGAAACUCUGGUGGAGGCUCGCAGCGGUUCUGACGUGCAAAUCGAUCGUCAAAUUUGGGCAUAGGGGCGAAAGACUAAUCGAACUAUCUAGUAGCUGGUUCCUGCCGAAGUUUCCCUCAGGAUAGCAGUAACGUUUUCAGUUUUAUGAGGUAAAGCGAAUGAUUAGAGGCCUGGGGGUUGAAACAACCUUCACC